This 1343-nucleotide ribosomal RNA is filed under the name uncultured bacterium. Its description in RNAcentral is "16S ribosomal RNA". It matches the Rfam family "Bacterial small subunit ribosomal RNA", at positions 28 to 1378 of the family's 1533-position model. The record is from RNAcentral.
GACGAACGCUGUCGGCGUGCUUAACACAUGCAAGUCGAACGGAAAGGCCCUGCUUUUGUGGGGUGCUCGAGUGGCGAACGGGUGAGUAACACGUGAGUAACCUGCCCUUGACUUUGGGAUAACUUCAGGAAACUGGGGCUAAUACCGGAUAGGAGCUCCUGCUGCAUGGUGGGGGUUGGAAAGUUUCGGCGGUUGGGGAUGGACUCGCGGCUUAUCAGCUUGUUGGUGGGGUAGUGGCUUACCAAGGCUUUGACGGGUAGCCGGCCUGAGAGGGUGACCGGCCACAUUGGGACUGAGAUACGGCCCAGACUCCUACGGGAGGCAGCAGUGGGGAAUAUUGCACAAUGGGCGGAAGCCUGAUGCAGCAACGCCGCGUGCGGGAUGACGGCCUCCGGGUUGUAAACCGCUUUCGCCUGUGACGAAGCGUGAGUGACGGUAAUGGGUAAAGAAGCACCGGCUAACUACGUGCCAGCAGCCGCGGUGAUACGUAGGGUGCGAGCGUUGUCCGGAUUUAUUGGGCGUAAAGGGCUCGUAGGUGGUUGAUCGCGUCGGAAGUGUAAUCUUGGGGCUUAACCCUGAGCGUGCUUUCGAUACGGGUUGACUUGAGGAAGGUAGGGGAGAAUGGAAUUCCUGGUGGAGCGGUGGAAUGCGCAGAUAUCAGGAGGAACACCAGUGGCGAAGGCGGUUCUCUGGGCCUUUCCUGACGCUGAGGAGCGAAAGCGUGGGGAGCGAACAGGCUUAGAUACCCUGGUAGUCCACGCUGUAAACGGUGGGUACUAGGUGUGGGGUCCAUUCCACGGGUUCCGUGCCGUAGCUAACGCUUUAAGUACCCCGCCUGGGGAGUACGGCCGCAAGGCUAAAACUCAAAGGAAUUGACGGGGCCCCGCACAAGCGGCGGAGCAUGCGGAUUAAUUCGAUGCAACGCGUAGAACCUUACCUGGGUUUGACAUGGAUCGGGAGUGCUCAGAGAUGGGUGUGCCUCUUUUGGGGUCGGUUCACAGGUGGUGCAUGGCUGUCGUCAGCUCGUGUCGUGAGAUGUUGGGUUAAGUCCCGCAACGAGCGCAACCCUUGUUCACUGUUGCCAGCACGUUAUGGUGGGGACUCAGUGGAGACCGCCGGGGUCAACUCGGAGGAAGGUGGGGAUGACGUCAAGUCAUCAUGCCCCUUAUGUCCAGGGCCUCACGCAUGCUACAAUGGCUGGUACAGAGAGUGGCGAGCCUGUGAGGGUGAGCGAAUCUCGGAAAGCCGGUCUCAGUUCGGAUUGGGGUCUGCAACUCGACCUCAUGAAGUCGGAGUCGCUAGUAAUCGCAGAUCAGCAACGCUGCGGUGAAUACGUUCCCGGG